RNAcentral lists this ribosomal RNA (488 nucleotides) under uncultured bacterium. Its description in RNAcentral is "bacterial SSU rRNA". It matches the Rfam family "Bacterial small subunit ribosomal RNA", at positions 44 to 507 of the family's 1533-position model. The record is from RNAcentral.
AUGCUUAACACAUGCAAGUCGAACGGUAACAGACCAAACAAUAUCCUUCGGGGUGUUGUGGUGCUGACGAGUGGCGGACGGGUGAGUAAUGCAUAGGAAUCUGCCCAGUAGUGGGGGACAACCUGGGGAAACCCAGGCUAAUACCGCAUACGACCUACGGGUGAAAGAGGGCCUCUUCUUGAAAGCUCUCGCUAUUGGAUGAGCCUAUGUCUGAUUAGCUUGUUGGUGAGGUAACGGCUCACCAAGGCGACGAUCAGUAGCUGGUCUGAGAGGACGAUCAGCCACACUGGGACUGAGACACGGCCCAGACUCCUACGGGAGGCAGCAGUGGGGAAUAUUGGACAAUGGGGGCAACCCUGAUCCAGCAAUGCCGCGUGUGUGAAGAAGGCCUGCGGGUUGUAAAGCACUUUCAGUAGGGAAGAAAAGCCUGAGGUUAAUAACCUCGAGUCUUGACGUCACCUACAGAAGAAGCACCGGCUAACUCCGUG